AUUGAAUCCAUCUGAUUGAACUGCACGGUAAGGGGACGAAGAGAAGCCACUAGAAAUCAUUGUUGCGGGAUUGAGCAUAUUAGUUCUCUUCCUUUGAGAUGAUGUGGCUAUUUGCGUCUGCGCUGGAAGAGCCUGAAUUGCUAUAGGACUUCUAGUGAUAUUUCUGGGUAAUGGUGGUCUGGCAGUUUCAGCGGUAACAAUUGAACUUCCG
RNAcentral lists this unclassified non-coding RNA (211 nucleotides) under Hevea brasiliensis (rubber tree). The record is from RNAcentral. Lineage: Eukaryota; Viridiplantae; Streptophyta; Magnoliopsida; Malpighiales; Euphorbiaceae.